This is a long non-coding RNA of Humulus lupulus (European hop), 882 nucleotides long. RefSeq lists it as uncharacterized. The transcript is spliced from 2 exons. The record is from RefSeq and is a predicted model, not a curated record. Lineage: Eukaryota; Viridiplantae; Streptophyta; Magnoliopsida; Rosales; Cannabaceae.
UCGGUUCAUAUUUGGAAUUAAGCAAAAUGCCAACAUGGGUUCUUUUGGGGUUGUCUAAUUUUAUAUUCCUUUUUAAGUUUGGGAGUGUAAAAGUUGGGUUUGGGGGAUUUUAAGAUUGCAAUAUUGUUUUGUUUAUCUUUUAAAAAAUUCUCAAUAUUUUGCUUGGGAUGAUGACAUUUUUGCAGUUUAUCUUUGGUGGUGAACCAUUGAUGAUGCCAAUAUAGCUAAUUCAGGAACUUGUUUUCUCUUAUAUAUUAUUGUGGGGAUACUCCAUGAAACAGAAAGACAACCAGAGUUUUACAGAUGACACCAAAACUUAUUUGCUAGGAAAUAAAAUGAAGAAACCCGAAAGCCGUAGAACUUAUCCAAGUAGAGAUACCAAUACGAUGCCAGGAAAUGAACUCUGGACUGAUGGACCAACUCCAAACCUGGUUCUAAACACCCAAAUAGAUAACAUAUCAAUGUGGAUAAUCAGUCAAGGGUGCAUGUGCCUUCAAAUGGUUUCCUGCUGAGACUUCUAUUCCAAAGCUAGAUAGGAACAAAGUAGUGGAGGCCGCAUCUGUAUCUGAGCAAAGAGCCAAUAUUAUUGCUUCUUUUGAUGACGAGAAAGGUAGUCCGGUUCAUCAGCCAAGACAACUUCAAACCUAUUGGGUGGGGCAGCAGCAGCUGCAGCUGUCAUUGGAGUGGAACCAGUACAGUAGCAGCUUCAUGAUCUGCUUAUGGUUCAAAUUGGUUCACAAGUGUUUACUUCAGAAACUUUUGGACAGUUAAGAAAGUGGAUUGAGUUACAGAACAUAUUUCUACUACUAAUGCUGCUGCAAGAACAUGAAGAGGAAACCAUCUUCUUUAAAAGGACAGUUGAAUUCAUGGAAGUUACUCAGA